CAGUCGCCGCGGUAAUACGAAGGGUGCAAGCGUUACUCGGAAUUACUGGGCGUAAAGCGUGUGUAGGUGGUUGUUUAAGUCUGUCGUGAAAGCCCUGGGCUCAACCUGGGAAUUGCGAUGGAUACUGGGCGACUAGAGUGCGGUAGAGGAUAGUGGAAUUUCCGGUGUAGCAGUGAAAUGCGUAGAGAUCGGAAGGAACAUCUGUGGCGAAGGCGACUAUCUGGGCCAACACUGACACUGAGACACGAAAGCGUGGGGAGCAAACAGGAUUAGAUACCCCUGUAGUCCCUGUCUCUUAUAC
This 301-nucleotide ribosomal RNA is filed under the name uncultured bacterium. Its description in RNAcentral is "partial 16S ribosomal RNA". It matches the Rfam family "Bacterial small subunit ribosomal RNA", at positions 509 to 807 of the family's 1533-position model. The record is from RNAcentral.